This 519-nucleotide ribosomal RNA is filed under the name uncultured bacterium. RNAcentral describes it as "bacterial SSU rRNA". It matches the Rfam family "Bacterial small subunit ribosomal RNA", at positions 777 to 1296 of the family's 1533-position model. The record is from RNAcentral.
AAUAGAUACCCGGGUAGUCCACGCCGUAAACGAUGUGUGCUAGACGGUCGGAUGUUCCGCAUUCGGUGUCGCCGCUAACGCAUUAAGCACACCGCCUGGGGAGUACAGCCGCAAGGUUAAACUCAAAGGAAUUGACGGGGGCCCGCACAAGCGGUGGAGCAUGUGGUUUAAUUCGACGCAACGCGCAGAACCUUACCAGCCCUUGACAUCCCGGUCGCGGGGAGCGGAGACGCUCGUUCUUCAGUUCGGCUGGACCGGAGACAGGUGCUGCAUGGCUGUCGUCAGCUCGUGUCGUGAGAUGUUGGGUUAAGUCCCGCAACGAGCGCAACCCUCAUCCUUAGUUGCCAUCAUUGAGUUGGGCACUCUAAGGAACUGCCGGUGACAAGCCGGAGGAAGGCGGGGAUGACGUCAAAUCCUCAUGGCCCUUAUGGGCUGGGCUACACACGUGCUACAAUGGCGGUGACAAUGGGCUGCGAGCCUGCAAAGGCAAGCAAAUCCCAAAAAGCCGUCUCAGUUCGG